Leucoraja erinaceus (little skate) is the source of this 1732-nucleotide long non-coding RNA. RefSeq lists it as uncharacterized. The record is from RefSeq and is a predicted model, not a curated record. The transcript has 2 exons. Lineage: Eukaryota; Metazoa; Chordata; Chondrichthyes; Rajiformes; Rajidae.
CACACACACACACACCCAUGAACCAAUACGAAAACAAUGUUAGAAUUUAAGCAAACUUAUACAUGAUGAUACACAUCUAGCUAGUUACAGGCAAACGGAAGGGCCAAUCAGAUCAUUUAACCAGUAGUUUUCCCCGCGUUCCUAACAACUAAGUAUAACCGUAGAUCAUUCAUGCUCCAUAUUUUACACUAGAAAUAUAAUGCCUAUCAAAUGGUUCAAAGUUAUAUUUGUGUACACAAGCCUUCCUCCAUCCCCUAACCGAAAACAGGAUACAUCAGCCAACAGGGUUCUAAUGUGGGAAUUAUGGCACAUUAUUGGGAGCCAAUGUUUCCAUUCAGUGAGUUCCUUCACCGAGCUCCGGUCACCAUAUCCAAAUACAGGGUUAUCUGAUAACAUUGUAAGCAAUAACCAGCUCCAAGUGUUAUACCAUCCUGGUUAGUAAAAUAUAUUAAUGGGAAGCGGACGUUUAUAGAAUGAGUAAUGAAUCCCAGAAAUAUGCAAACACAUUGCUUUCCCCAAACUAUUCAUAAACGGCUGUUUAUUAGCAGCUGUGUCUACAAGUGGCCAUGGUUGUGGAUACAAUUGUUGAGGAUGGAUGAUCACCUCAAUGUAAAAACAGCUCAUAGGAAAUUAAUAUCCCUAAUAUUAAUAUCCCUAUUAUUUUGGUAAAUAAUAAAUACAAUACAAUGAUUAGAAUAUAUUGUGAACGUCUUCGCGUUCUGCUUUGCGUAGAUUACGCCGACAACGUUCCUCUAGAGGACUAUGAGGAAGACAGAGACAAUAUCUGGACAACCGCUUCCACAUUCAUUAUCUUGUUCUUCCUGAGCAUUUCCUACGGUGCUGCCGUAACUCUGGUGAAGGUCAAGUGACGAUUGAAUGUUGAAAACCGCGUAUUUAUCUGACCGGUCUAUGGACGUCGUUGUAACCAAGGGAAAUGUUCAAAUCAGAAGCGGACAAUGUCAUAAACAAUAGUUCAUUCUGUCUAUCUGACUUGUUUGAUAUUGCCUAGUUGCCUUUCGUAUAGCGUUAAUGUAUCAAAAUAUUUUAAUCGUAAUUUGAAUAUCAUGUGAAAAUAAGUCAAUUUUCUCAAACGGUAGACGUUUCUUUUCUUCUUUUUAUCUUUUUUUCUAUACAUUCUCUUUUUCUUUAGCAUGGGCCAUAUUUGUGUCCUUCCGGUGUUGAAUGCCGUUGUAUAGAAAGUCGGGAACGCUGUUUGUGUGAGAUCGUAAUCUUCAUGUUAAAUUCAGACACACUAUCUAUGCCUGUCAUUAUUCUAACAACUUCUACCGUGUCCCACUUCAACCUCCGAUGCGCCAAAGAAAACAAUCCAUGUUUGCCUCUUCUAGCUAAUAAUUCUAACCCGGGCUGCAGCAUUCUAGUAAACCUCUUCUGCAUCUUCUCCAAAGCCUCCACAUUAUCCCCUUGAAGGGACGACCUGACCUCCAAGUGCGGCCUAACCGAAGGCCUGUAAAUAAAUGUCAUGUAAAUGCACGUGUAAAUACAUACCCAACAAUCCAACGCGUGUGCACAUAUGAGCAAAUAUCUAUUUACUCCUUUUCUGCUCAAUUGCCCUUUCCUUAAUUCAGAGCUAACCUUUGACUCUCGAGCCACAUGUUCAAUGUACCUGGUCUCAGUGUGGAAUUCAGUUGUGUUGACCACUUCGUGUUAUGCUUUUAAAAAGGUCUCUGUAAUGUGUUUCUGUUAAAUCACAAAUAAAAGCGGAACUACAAAA